GAUGAACGCUGACAGAAUGCUUAACGCAUGCAAGUCUUUGGCGAAGCUGUGCUUGCACAGCCUAGCCAAGGCGGACGGGUGAGUAACGCGUAAGGAACUUGCCCUGCAGUCAGGGAUAACAGACGGAAACGACUGAUAAGACCUGGUAAAGUCAGGCGGACUCAUGUCCAGCCUGAAGAAAAGAGAUGCUGCAGGAGAGCCUUGCGUCCUAUUAGCUUGUUGGUGGGGUAACGGCCCACCAAGGCGAUGAUAGGUAGCCGGCCUGAGAGGGUGGACGGCCACAAGGGGACUGAGAUACGGCCCUUACUCCUACGGGAGGCAGCAGUGGGGAAUAUUGGACAAUGGGGGCAACCCUGAUCCAGCAAUUCUGUGUGCACGAUGAAGGUUUUCGGAUUGUAAAGUGCUUUCAGCAGGGAAGAAAAAAAUGACGGUACCUGCAGAAGAAGCGACGGCUAAAUACGUG
This 463-nucleotide ribosomal RNA is filed under the name uncultured bacterium. RNAcentral's name for it is "partial 16S ribosomal RNA". It matches the Rfam family "Bacterial small subunit ribosomal RNA", at positions 28 to 507 of the family's 1533-position model. The record is from RNAcentral.